GAUCNUGGCUCAGAGCGAACGCUGGCGGCAGGCUUAACACAUGCAAGUCGAGCGGGCAUAGCAAUAUGUCAGCGGCAGACGGGUGAGUAACGCGUGGGAACGUACCUUUUGGUUCGGAACAACACAGGGAAACUUGUGCUAAUACCGGAUAAGCCCUUACGGGGAAAGAUUUAUCGCCGAAAGAUCGGCCCGCGUCUGAUUAGCUAGUUGGUGAGGUAACGGCUCACCAAGGCGACGAUCAGUAGCUGGUCUGAGAGGAUGAUCAGCCACAUUGGGACUGAGACACGGCCCAAACUCCUACGGGAGGCAGCAGUGGGGAAUAUUGGACAAUGGGCGCAAGCCUGAUCCAGCCAUGCCGCGUGAGUGAUGAAGGCCCUAGGGUUGUAAAGCUCUUUUGUGCGGGAAGAUAAUGACGGUACCGCAAGAAUAAGCCCGGCU
Molecule: ribosomal RNA, 438 nt
Filed under: 2,4-D-degrading bacterium 034
Lineage: Bacteria; Pseudomonadati; Pseudomonadota; Betaproteobacteria; Burkholderiales
Description: bacterial SSU rRNA
Rfam family: Bacterial small subunit ribosomal RNA
Source: RNAcentral